This is a long non-coding RNA of Theobroma umbraticum, 828 nucleotides long. RefSeq lists it as uncharacterized. The record is from RefSeq and is a predicted model, not a curated record. NCBI's taxonomy places the organism in Eukaryota, Viridiplantae, Streptophyta, Magnoliopsida, Malvales, Malvaceae.
GAUAAGGAAACGUUGCAUGCACAAGCCACCAAUGGGAAGUGGUGUUAAUACAAAGAAAGGAAAUUGCAUGGCAUGACAUGUGAUUAAAAAAAUAAAAAGAGAAAAAGGUUGGGCAGUCCAAAAAUGCAUGAGAAAAUGGGAAAUGAAAGCCAUUUCAAGGCUUUUGCCUUGAGCGAUUUACCCAUAACAAAGUAAAAGAGAAAGAAAGAAAGGAGAAAGAAGAAAAGAGAAAGGAGAAAGAAGAAAGAGUUGAGUGAAAAGGCAAACUAAGUGAGGGUUCGGUUUUGUGGGAUUUUAGAGCACGCGUACUUCUAGGGAUUCAUCCUUUAUUGAGAGAUAUGGGUUACCUUUUAUGGUAGCUAAGAAAUAUCAAGAGAAAAAGAACAUGGAUAAUGGUAAGUAGAACUUUGAUUUUGGUUACAGAUUUCUUGAGGAAAUGAGUUGGUAAUUGUGUGAGAAUGUUUGUUGCAGCAAAGGUCCUCCAAGAUUUGAAAGAAAUAGAUGCAUGCAUGUGGGUUGAUCUAAGAAGUAUGGUGAUUUUGAGCAAGACAAGUAAUGGCAAUGGUGACCAAGGAUGUGAGGAGAUUGUGAACUAUAUGUUGAAUCCAAGCUAAAGACCGAAAGGAAGCAUGUAAAUGAGGAAGGUUUGCCGUGGUGGCGUAUUAGAGGAGAUAACGGGUGAUUGGCAAGUAGAAUUAGCUAGAGACGCAUCCGAACCGAUAGCGACGUAGUGUCCCACUAUUAUAAGAUAAGUGAUCGACCUAGUGUGCAUUCAUUGGCACAUAUUGUCCACCACGGAUAGGUAAAGACAUCACACAACACUUUAUU